RNAcentral lists this transfer RNA (57 nucleotides) under Loxodonta africana (African savanna elephant). It matches the Rfam family "tRNA", at positions 8 to 63 of the family's 71-position model. Rfam says of the family: Transfer RNA (tRNA) molecules are approximately 80 nucleotides in length. The record is from Rfam by way of RNAcentral. Lineage: Eukaryota; Metazoa; Chordata; Mammalia; Proboscidea; Elephantidae.
UAACUUAGUGGUUAAGAGUUUGGCUGCUAACCAAAAGGGCGGCAGUUCAAUUCCGCC